CUCCUGCAAAAAUCAAUGGAUAGGAGGCCCUGCCUGCCCAGUGACUAAGUUAAACGGCCGCGGUAUUUUGACCGUGCAAAGGUAGCGCAAUCACUUGUUUUUUAAAUAAAGACCUGUAUGAAUGGUGAAACGAGGGCUUAACUGUCUCCCCCCUCCAAUCAGUGAAAUUGAUCUACCCGUGCAGAAGCGGGUAUUUUUAUACAAGACGAGAAGACCCUAUGGAGCUUUAGACAAGUAAUCAACUAUGUUAAAAACCCCUAAUUAAAGGAUCACAACAAAAUCAGCCACUGAUUAUAGUCUUCGGUUGGGGCGACCACGGAGUAAAAUUAACCCUCCACGCGGAAUAAAAUAUUUUUUCAAAACUAAGAGACACAUCUCUAAGCCACAGAAACUCUGACCCAUGGAUCCGGCACAAGCCGAUCAACGGACCAAGUUACCCUAGGGAUAACAGCGCAAUCCUCUCCAAGAGUCCAUAUUGACAAGAGGGUUUACGACCUCGCUGUUGGAUCAGGACAUCCUGAUGGUGCAGCCGCUAUUAAGGGCUCGUUUGUUCAACGAUUAAAGUCCUACGUGAUCUGAG
RNAcentral lists this ribosomal RNA (580 nucleotides) under Bario steindachneri. RNAcentral describes it as "partial 16S large subunit ribosomal RNA". It matches the Rfam family "Bacterial large subunit ribosomal RNA", at positions 1820 to 2609 of the family's 2925-position model. The record is from RNAcentral. Lineage: Eukaryota; Metazoa; Chordata; Actinopteri; Characiformes; Acestrorhamphidae.